CCCCUUGGGGAGUAGCCUGCUUUCGUCAUCGAAAGCGCCUGCAUCAACAUACUCGGCCAGUGCGCCGUGGUGCAGGCAACCAGUUUCGGUUUGGCGAGACCAACGGCAUGCGUGCACGACGACGGUUGGCGCGGGCGCAUGUCGUUGUGACCGUGCCCAAC
Molecule: small RNA, 161 nt
Filed under: Xanthomonas phaseoli pv. phaseoli
Lineage: Bacteria; Pseudomonadati; Pseudomonadota; Gammaproteobacteria; Lysobacterales; Lysobacteraceae
Also listed under: 1 other name
Description: yybP-ykoY
Rfam family: Manganese Mn2+ riboswitch aptamer (yybP-ykoY)
About the family: This RNA was originally discovered in E. coli during a large scale screen and was named SraF. The family was later found to exist upstream of related families of protein genes in many bacteria, including the the yybP and ykoK genes in B. subtilis. The specific functions of these proteins are unknown, but this structured RNA element may be involved in their genetic regulation as a riboswitch.
Source: RNAcentral